This 682-nucleotide long non-coding RNA is filed under the name Phasianus colchicus (ring-necked pheasant). RNAcentral's name for it is "lncRNA (ENSPCLG00000021263.1)". The record is from RNAcentral. Lineage: Eukaryota; Metazoa; Chordata; Aves; Galliformes; Phasianidae.
AUGGAUGUGACUUGGAGAGCACGGCCAGGUUCCACCCAGGGAGGGCUUACUCAGCACUUCUCCUUGGCACUGGAAGGUAGGGUCAAAUGUUGGAGAAAAGAAACAAAGCGCACCGAGAGCUGUGUGCAGAGCCUUCACAAAGUAGCUGUGAAAUACCUCGACCUCACUUGCUUACGAGAUGUGCAAAGUCUUCUAAAGUUAGCAUGGAGAACUCAGCAGUUUCAGCAUUACUGAUUUGUGAAUGUUACUACCUGAAAUGAUAGUAUUCAAGCAGAAGGUUGGAUUUGUGAUUGCUUCUCUGACAAAUACUGAAUUCUCUGUGACCGACUCUGAUGUUUAGCUCACGCUGUCAGAAUUAAAUGUAUAACUAAUAAGGAAGAGGAAAGCAACCAACUUUAUUCAGAUAGAUUUGGAUCUCUUAAAUGGCUGGCCCACUAAGUGGAAAAUACUAUUCAGUGUUUAACGUAGAGAAAUGUGAAAUAAUCGAUGUGUAGGCAAUGAACCGAAGUGAAGAGUGUAUAUACAGUGGAACAGCUAUGCAGUAUAAUGACAAGGAAAGGAUUUAAAGGUUGUUAUAAACAAAUCCAUGAAGAUAUUAGCGUGGUCUGUUUGCAGGAAAAAAAACCAACGUGAAAUGGAGCUGCACAAAUGAGCAGAAUACAAAUGACAACAAGGAAUAUUA